Molecule: long non-coding RNA, 845 nt
Organism: Monodelphis domestica (gray short-tailed opossum)
Lineage: Eukaryota; Metazoa; Chordata; Mammalia; Didelphimorphia; Didelphidae
Source: RefSeq, a predicted model, not a curated record
UCGCUCUAAUACCUAGAGUCAAAUCCCUAGAGUUCAGGUAUUACAUCCCCUCAGGUUUCAGAGUUUAGACUGUGAGUGUGACAGGAUGUUUAGCCAGUGCUACAGGUCUUGUAAGAGCAGGAUGCAAAGGGGGAAAUGGAAUAUUGGACGUGAUUGACGGCCAAUGACCGUUGGUAGCAGAGGAUCAUGGGAGAGAAGAAGGGACCUGGAAGAGCCCCGAGAAGAACUCAGGGCUUCUGAGCUGGCGUCCGAAGAUGAUCACGAACUCUUUGAAGGCAGGGACUAUCGUUUGCCCUGCUUUGUGAAACCAGCUCUUGGCAAGGUGCCCACCCCAGGGUAGGCACUUAAUGAGGAUUUAUUGACUUGACUAUCAACCGGAGGGCCGUCUUUGAGAAAGGGGCUUCUACUCAAGUGAUUAGCAAAAACCCUUGUUACCAACGUCCUUUCAAAGUCUGUGACACACUCUUCCGCAAGCACAUAUAGCACCGGGGGAAAUGGGCUGAACUUAGAGAGCACAAAUGGCAAAGAACUUUCCAAAGUCAUUUUGCUGAUGGUCUGGAGUUCCCCUUAGCUUUUCUGCUGCUUCCUUGUAGAUCUUUGAAUCCAGCCUGUCCUUGAUUCUCAAUAAGGACACCCCACUGGGACAUCGAGGGGAAGAUGGAAGGUCUAAAGUCCUUUGAAUGCUUCAAAGUCCUCCUACUACCGAGGUCGAGGUAAUGAGGGAGUGAAGAAACCAAGGUCUGGGUCAUUUUCCUGUUCAAGGGCUUGGCUGAGUCAACUCGUUCACCUUCCCAACUAGCUAGAUUAAAACAACACAUUAUAAAUACAUUAAAAUAGCACAUUUA